UGUUGCCUACGGGGCGCAGCAGUGGGGAAUAUUGCACAAUGGGGGAAACCCUGAUGCAGCGACGCCGCGUGAGUGAAGAAGUAUUUCGGUAUGUAAAGCUCUAUCAGCAGGGAAGAUAAUGACGGUACCUGACUAAGAAGCCCCGGCUAACUACGUGCCAGCAGCCGCGGUAAUACGUAGGGGGCAAGCGUUAUCCGGAUUUACUGGGUGUAAAGGGAGCGUAGGUGGCAGGGCAAGUCAGAUGUGAAAACCCGGGGCUCAACUCCGGGAGUGCAUUUGAAACUGUCCAGCUAGAGGGCCGGAGG
This 305-nucleotide ribosomal RNA is filed under the name uncultured bacterium. RNAcentral's name for it is "bacterial SSU rRNA". It matches the Rfam family "Bacterial small subunit ribosomal RNA", at positions 333 to 655 of the family's 1533-position model. The record is from RNAcentral.